UACGUAGGGCGCAAGCGUUGUCCGGAAUUAUUGGGCGUAAAGAGCUCGUAGGCGGUCUGUCGCGUCUGCUGUGAAAACCCGGGGCUCAACCCCGGGCCUGCAGUGGAUACGGGCAGGCUUGAGGUAGGUAGGGGAGACUGGAAUUCCUGGUGUAGCGGUGAAAUGCGCAGAUAUCAGGAGGAACACCGAUGGCGAAGGCGGCCACCUGGCCGACAACUGACGCUGAGGCGCGAAAGCGUGGGGAGCAAACAGG
RNAcentral lists this ribosomal RNA (253 nucleotides) under uncultured bacterium. RNAcentral describes it as "partial 16S ribosomal RNA". It matches the Rfam family "Bacterial small subunit ribosomal RNA", at positions 524 to 776 of the family's 1533-position model. The record is from RNAcentral.